GGGGUGUGCUCAGAGCAUAGAACCUGAAGACUGGCUCCUUUGUUUACAACACACCUGAUAGGAAUCUGGAGUCAUUAUGAUGAGGAACACAAAACUUGUGGCCUUCCUAUGAACACAUGCCCUAUAUGU
This is a small nucleolar RNA of Cynocephalus volans (Philippine flying lemur), 129 nucleotides long. RefSeq annotates it as small nucleolar RNA SNORA11. The transcript has a single exon. NCBI's taxonomy places the organism in Eukaryota, Metazoa, Chordata, Mammalia, Dermoptera, Cynocephalidae. The record is from RefSeq and is a predicted model, not a curated record.